RNAcentral lists this ribosomal RNA (588 nucleotides) under uncultured bacterium. Its description in RNAcentral is "bacterial SSU rRNA". It matches the Rfam family "Bacterial small subunit ribosomal RNA", at positions 9 to 546 of the family's 1533-position model. The record is from RNAcentral.
AGAGUUUGAUCAUGGCUCAGGACGAACGCUGGCGGCGUGCCUAAUGCAUGCAAGUCGAGCGAGCGGAACUAACAGAUUUACUUCGGUAAUGACGUUAGGAAAGCGAGCGGCGGAUGGGUGAGUAACACGUGGGGAACCUGCCCCAUAGUCUGGGAUACCACUUGGAAACAGGUGCUAAUACCGGAUAAGAAAGCAGAUCGCAUGAUCAGCUUUUAAAAGGCGGCGUAAGCUGUCGCUAUGGGAUGGCCCCGCGGUGCAUUAGCUAGUUGGUAAGGUAAAGGCUUACCAAGGCGAUGAUGCAUAGCCGAGUUGAGAGACUGAUCGGCCACAUUGGGACUGAGACACGGCCCAAACUCCUACGGGAAGCAGCAGUAGGGAAUCUUCCACAAUGGACGCAAGUCUGAUGGAGCAACGCCGCGUGAGUGAAGAAGGUUUUCGGAUCGUAAAGCUCUGUUGUUGGUGAAGAAGGAUAGAGGUAGUAACUGGCCUUUAUUUGACGGUAAUCAACCAGAAAGUCACGGCUAACUACGUGCCAGCAGCCGCGGUAAUACGUAGGUGGCAAGCGUUGUCCUUUUCUCAGGACUCAUC